CCUACGGGAGGCAGCAGUGGGGAAUAUUGGGCAAUGGACGAAAGUCUGACCCAGCAACGCCGCGUGAAGGAAGAAGGCUUUCGGGUUGUAAACUUCUUUUAACAGGGAAGAGUAGAAGACGGUACCUGUUGAAUAAGCCACGGCUAACUACGUGCCAGCAGCCGCGGUAAUACGUAGGUGGCAAGCGUUGUCCGGAUUUACUGGGUGUAAAGGGCGUGUAGCCGGGAAGGCAAGUCAGAUGUGAAAUCUGGAGGCUCAACCUCCAAACUGCAUUUGAAACUGCUUUUCUUGAGUAUCGGAGAGGUAAUCGGAAUUCCUUGUGUAGCGGUGAAAUGCGUAGAUAUAAGGAAGAACACCAGUGGCGAAGGCGGAUUACUGGACGACAACUGACGCUGAGGCGCGAAAGCGUGGGGAGCAAACAGGAUUAGAUACCCCUGUAGUC
RNAcentral lists this ribosomal RNA (442 nucleotides) under uncultured Oscillibacter sp. RNAcentral's name for it is "bacterial SSU rRNA". It matches the Rfam family "Bacterial small subunit ribosomal RNA", at positions 338 to 795 of the family's 1533-position model. The record is from RNAcentral. Lineage: Bacteria; Bacillati; Bacillota; Clostridia; Eubacteriales; Oscillospiraceae.